AUGGCGGCGGAGCGCGACCUGCUGCUACAGUGGGGAAACCGGAAGCGCCUGCGCUGUGUCAAGGUGCAGCGCCACGAUGUUGAGGCCGUAGCCACGACGGCCGCCGAGGAAGUUGCGACCGGAAGCGUCGGGCCGCGACAGCGGCGGCUGCAGCCACGGCGGCCGUGCAGCACCACCCCACCACCGCGGCCUCAGUGGGAAGAUUGGGAAUCAAGUGACUCGUCUGAUACCCCCUUGCAUUCUACUAGUACUACUAUGGAUGCUCAUCGGGCACAACGGUGGCUGAAGAAAAAUGAAGACAGCGAGCCGGCCGCCGCGAUCGUCGCCGGGCGGGAGUUGCUCCAUCAGGAUCAGCUGACACCUGAUGAACGCAGCUGCAUAUGCCGGUUGGAUCUGGCACGCUACUUACGCCGAACUGACCAGAUUCCGAACAUUGUUUUUGGCCUCGCCUGCUGGUGCACAUGGGAUCCGGUGGGCGGGCGGGCAGCCAGAUUUUUGCUAGUUGUGAAGGGGGUAUCUUUGGAGAUGAUGAUCAGCAUCAUGUCCCCUCCAUUGCCAGCCGAGGGUGCGUUGUUAGCUGACACGGUGAAGUUGUUGACGAGAUCAAACCAGGCGAAGAUCCAGUUGGUCGAGGACUCUGCAACUACCGUCACCAAGGAGAUGUUUGCUAAUGAGGAAGUUGGUUCCUUUUGCAAGCUAGAGAUUGAAUCCUCUAGUCUUGUUGCUAGCAAGCAUGCCCCUCUACUAGCGAUUAUUCAAAUUGUUUUGUUUAUUUUGAUGAGACAAAGAGCUGCUAGCUACGAAAGGCAAAUAGGCUGGCUGGUAGUCCACAACAAGCAAGGGGCAUGGGACCUUGAAGGAGCUGCUCAUGUCCAUGAAAAUGGACGUUUCCUGAAAGAUGGUAUAAUACUGCAUCUUAGCAAGCAGGAGGCGGUACAUACUACAUAUCAGCAUAUGGACUACCUCGUCCAUCCCAAUAACUUUUGGGGCCCCAAAAUUUUUAACUUCCAAGGUGGGAUUAACUGCCAUUGCACAUCCUGCACCUGCCUGCCGUAUGGCCCUAGGCAGCAGCAGGUCCGUAUCUCUCCAUUCUUGUUAACAAUAGUCUGCCCGAUGGAUUCUCUCCUCUGUUUACUUCCUAGCGCCAUCUCCUCCUCUAUUUACCCCCACUACCUAGGGAUGCCGCUGAUGCUUACUCAAGACACAGACGCUGAUUUCAAGAGAAGACUUGCCAUGCCAUCGAGCUAUCUUCAGUGA
Molecule: ribosomal RNA, 1257 nt
Filed under: Triticum aestivum (bread wheat)
Lineage: Eukaryota; Viridiplantae; Streptophyta; Magnoliopsida; Poales; Poaceae
Description: partial small subunit ribosomal RNA
Source: RNAcentral